GGCUGCAGCGAAAAGGGUGACAGCCCUUUAGGGAGCAGUGGCCUCCAUCUUUCUGUGCUACACUGGCCCCACCCCAGCCCUCCUAGGUGAAGCCCACAGCCGUGGCAACACAAAAGACAGGGUGAUUUGCGGUGACUAUUUCUCUGAAUUACACGGGACCAAGGAAACGUGACCAGGCUCAAGAUUUCUGGACACAGAGACACUGAGGACAGAGCUGGUUCCAUCAGAGCCCAGGUCAGGCUGGCGGCAAGCACGGUGGCAACCCCCCAUUCUUGUUAGAAGUGUGUUAAACUGUAAACAUGGAGGAUGUCUCCUCCCUCCUUCCCCUCCUUGAAGACAGCUCUAGGAAGCACAGACUACCACGGAAAAGAUGAGGCCAUCAACUGUACUCCAGGACUUCCAAAGUCUUCCUGGGUGCUGACAUCCCACUGCUAGAUGUGAGAAGAAUGAAGCAAGUUGUACUUGAGUUUCCAAGUACAAUGGUUUUGGUUUUUUUCCUUUUGUUGAUUGCCUUGGAAGGAUGGAAUAUAUUUAAAUGAAGAUUAGGCUCUUCUUGGCCAUGAAUAAAGGACAAGAGGUUUUUGGUACACAUUGAUUUACACUCUGGGUUUAACGGGUCAUCCAAGGCAAACGUGAAAGCACAAAAGGAGGAGGGGAGUGUAUAGGGAAUAUGGGGGGAGGGCACAGUUGGCAGCCAUAAGAUUUCUGGCUGUGGCCAUUAGUGCAUCUCCAUCUUUUUUUUUUUUUUUUUUUUUUUUUUUUUUUGGUCUUUUUAGGGCCGCACCCAAGGCACAUGGAAGUUCCCAGGCUAGGGAUCGAAUCGGAACUGUAGCUGCUGGCCUACACCUCAGCCACAGCAACACAGGAUCCAAGCUGCGUCUGCGACCUACACCACAUCUUACGGCAAUGCCAGAUCCUUAACCCACUGAGCAAUGCCAGGGAUUGAACCCACGUCCUCACGGGUCCUAGUCAGAUUCAUUAACUGCUGAGCCAUGACAGGAACUGCUAGUAUGUCUCCAGCUUUUGAAGGACACUGGAUCAAGUCCCUUUUCAAGUCCCUUCAAAACCAUGUCAACCAAUUCUUUGCCUGUUAUUCAAGACUGAUGGCUUAGGAAGCAUGUGGUCUAGUUCCUAGAAAGAAAACCUGACCCACCCACCUCUCCACCACUGCUGAACUUGUGUCCAACUCUCUGACCCUGUUCCUUGCCACAAAAUGUUCAUUUUCUCUGAACCCCCAGCCCCUGCCCCAGAUCCUGGAAUCUUAGUUGAGGCCCGAACUUGAAUUCUUCACUUGUCAGGAUGAGGGUUUGGACACAGACUCAUCCCUCCUCUGCCAAUUCUCCUUUCAAACUGAGGCAUAAGAUUUUUUUUUUUUAAUUAAAAAGACCCCAAAACCUGAGGCUGUGGCUGCUAGUUACCUACCGAAAUUAUUUCCCUUUCUUCUACAACAUAUGGUCAGACCAUAUUUUCUAGCCCAUCUCCCUUGAAGUUUGAUGGGGUCUUGUGACUACGGAAACACUUUGAGGCUUGGCCCCCAAAACCUUCCUUGGGAUUUUCUCUUCUCUCAUCUGACAACUGGAUGCCACUACCUGGGAUGACAUUGGAAAUCUCCUGUUGAAGAGGACAGGCCUUUUGUCAGCUGGAUUUCUGAAUGAUUCCUAGAUACCAAAAACUAGACUUCAUGAGAGUGAAAAG
Molecule: long non-coding RNA, 1695 nt
Filed under: Sus scrofa (pig)
Lineage: Eukaryota; Metazoa; Chordata; Mammalia; Artiodactyla; Suidae
Description: lncRNA (ENSSSCG00055025921.1)
Source: RNAcentral